GGGGAAAAAAGCCACUUCAGACUGUGGUACUGAGUGAUCUGUCUGUAGAGAACUUUAAUAAUAAAAAUAAAAAUAACUCAUGACAUAACUAUCUAUAUACAACUUCCAAGAGUUUUUGUUUCAUUUCUUUUCAGUGAAAAAUAGUGAGAUGCUUUGUUGUGCAUUAAAUCAACCUAUCUAUAUCAAAUUGUGAUCUGCAAAAGAAGGAAAUUAGCUUCAUUGAUGUGUAGUCUUAAACCCAUUCCUCUGCCCAGCACAUGCAGGGAAGUUUGGCUUUGGCUGGGAAAGAGCACUCUGAGGGCUUCAUCCCAUUGAACCAGGACCUGUGGGACCCCAGUCUCAUCACUGCAACCUAUCCAGGUGG
This 364-nucleotide long non-coding RNA is filed under the name Anser cygnoides (Swan goose). Its description in RNAcentral is "lncRNA (ENSACDG00005019106.1)". Lineage: Eukaryota; Metazoa; Chordata; Aves; Anseriformes; Anatidae. The record is from RNAcentral.